RNAcentral lists this ribosomal RNA (433 nucleotides) under uncultured bacterium. RNAcentral describes it as "partial 16S ribosomal RNA". It matches the Rfam family "Bacterial small subunit ribosomal RNA", at positions 29 to 507 of the family's 1533-position model. The record is from RNAcentral.
AGCGAACGCUGGCGGCAGGCCUAACACAUGCAAGUCGAACGGAUCCUUCGGGAUUAGUGGCGGACGGGUGAGUAACACGUGGGAACGUGCCCUUUGGUUCGGAACAACUCAGGGAAACUUGAGCUAAUACCGGAUGUGCCCUUCGGGGGAAAGAUUUAUCGCCAUUGGAGCGGCCCGCGUCUAAUUAGCUAGUUGGUGAGGUAACGGCCCACCAAGGCGACGAUCAGUAGCUGGUCUGAGAGGAUGAUCAGCCACACUGGGACUGAGACACGGCCCAGACUCCUACGGGAGGCAGCAGUGGGGAAUCUUGCGCAAUGGGCGAAAGCCUGACGCAGCCAUGCCGCGUGAAUGAUGAAGGUCUUAGGAUUGUAAAAUUCUUUCAGCGGGGACGAUAAUGACGGUACCCGCAGAAGAAGCUCCGGCUAACUUCGUG